This 3678-nucleotide long non-coding RNA is filed under the name Vitis vinifera (wine grape). RNAcentral describes it as "long non-coding RNA (VVIN_LNC002818)". The record is from RNAcentral. Lineage: Eukaryota; Viridiplantae; Streptophyta; Magnoliopsida; Vitales; Vitaceae.
UAGGUAACAAGCUCUAUGCUCUUUCCUUUCUUCUUUUUCAUUUUCAUCCACCCUUCCUAAGAACUUGAAAUAUACGCAAUCUUAUUUAAAAUUUGUUUUGGCCAAAUUGAGAUUAAAUCAGUCUUUCAUAAGUACUGUUUGGAUUUUGGAAAAUGAAUCAAGCAUUUAUCUGUGUUUUUCAGUUUUCAAUUUCGCCACCAACGUUCAUGACGUCGCAGAACUAUCAAAAGAAUCAUUUGAUGCAUGCGACUUUUCCAGUACCAUUGGAAGUAUCAUCACAACUGGUCCAGCCAACAUCACUCUCGCCACCGCCGGCAACCACUACUACGUCUGCACCAUUGGCAGCCACUGCACCUCCGGCCAGAAGCUAGCCAUCUCAGUAUCAGCCACUCCCGGCGCCUCCCCUCCUUCUUCAUCUACUGCAACCCCACCACCAACCACACAGGGUGGUGAUUCUUCAUCAUCAACUGUUUUUGCUAGUGUGUUUGUCUCCUUGGUGUCUCUUGUCAUCAGUUUCUUUCUUUAGGUAGCAGAGAAGAUUCAUAUUGGACGACAUUUUUUUGUGGGGUGUUCUUCAAUAAGUUUGAGAUUGAUUUUUAUGUUGUUGAGUUUUGUGUGACAACAUUUAUGUAUUGUUUUUUAGCAUAUGAUCAAUAAAAUUAUGCUGGUUUAGCUUAAUUUCGUUGUACUUUCUAUUGUUACACUUCCAUUUUCUCAUCAAUGACUUGGACAACCUUAAAAUUAAGGAGAUGAAGUCUUUCUUUCAGCUAUAUAGAAAGAGAUUUACUAAGAAAUAAAUAAAUAAAAGAACUUAAACUUAAGUCUUUCUUUUCUUUUCAAAUUAAAGAUAAUCAUUUUAAGGUUAAGGGAAGGAGUCCAAAGAAGGAUAUUGUAAAGGGGAUAACCAAGUUAAGCACAUAAGUCUUAGAUAAAAAGAACUAGACAAAAUAGAUCUUAAGAGUACAAAAGGGGAUGCUAAACAAGGAUGUAUGCAUAUGUAUAAGAGGAUAAAGUGAGAAAACUAGGAGAUUACCUACCUUGUGCCAUUUUUCUAAAUUCUAGAAAAUGGAUCACUUGAGUAGCUUAUGUAAUGAGAGAAUUAUAUUGAGUUACUUUGCCUUCAUGAAUUGCAUUAAAAAAUAUUUUAUUCUCUUAUUCUUUUUCUAUGGAUUAGCACAGUGUAGGUUAAAGGGGGUGAUUGGAUCCUAAAUAUGUGCUUUUAAGGCUCAUAGUGACAUAAUUUAUAUGGACUUAAAGCUCAAAUCAUUCAACUUAACUCAAAUGAGAGGUUUAAGCCUGUGAGGGUGACAAACCAAAAGUAAUAGAACCAAGACACAAGCAAGAGAGAGAAGCAAAGCACCUUUUUGGAGGAGAUGAAGAGUCAUCUAAUCAAGUUAAGACAUAAGAUGUUAAGACAAACUAAGGAAGGGAGAAUUGAUACAAAAUUUACCUUGGAAGAUGAAAGGAGUACUUUACUAUUUCUCAUAUACAACUAUAUUUUUUGAAUUUUGUUACUAGGUAAAUAACUUAUAAAUUAAGUAAGAGAUAAUUAGUAAUUUAAAUUAUUUAAUAAAUCUUUUAAUUUUUAAAAAUAAUUUGGAAUUCAAAAAACUAAUCCAAUUAAUUGCCCAUCAAAUCAAACCAUUCUAGAAUAUUUUAUUCAAAAUUGAGUACUAAAUGUGUGCCUGUAAUAAAAAAAUUUGUCUCAUUUAUAUGUUAAAAAAUUGUUAAACUUGGUUCAUUAUUCAUUUUAAAUAAAAUGUUAUUAACAAUUAUUAUUUUUAAGUUAUUAUUAUUCAUUAUAAAAGGAAAUUAAGAAUAUGUUAUUAUCCUUAUGUUUCUAACAUAUACUAGUAUAUUUUUAUUAAAAAAAUACAAUUUAUGAUUUUAUUAAUUAUAAUAUUAUUAUUUAUGUUUUAGUAAAAUCUAUUUAUUUUAAUUUAUUAAUUUGUAAUUGCAAAACUAUUUUCAUUUUUAAUGAGACUUGCAUUAAAUUUAACUAAUAUUAUAUAGAUUGGAUUUACAAUACUUUUACAAAAGCAAAACAAAAAAUUAUUUUUAAAAUAAGUUUUUAGUUUUUUAUUUUUAAAAACUAUUGUUGAAAACAACUUUUCAAACACCCUUAUUUUUAUAAAACAUCAAAAUCUGUUUUUGUUUCUUCAACUUAAAAAUAUAUUUUAAAAACAAGUAUUAAAAAACAUGGCCCUAAAUGAUUUUUGAAACCAACUUUUAUUUAUAGUAAUUGAUUUUUUAAACAAGUAUUAAAAAACAUGCAUGGCUAAACAUGGCUAAUCACUCGUUAUGAACGAGAUGCCUUUUACUGUUUAGCAUUAAAAUAAUAUCUUAUAUACAUAUAUUUUUAUAAAUUAAGAAACUACUUUCUAGCAAGUCAUUUUGAACUCCAAAUUAAAUCAAAACCUAAUUAUAAAUCACCAAAUAGUAACUGGUGUAUGAUUUGCCUCUAGCUACUUCUACAUUUGUCUUUCAAAUCAUUUGAAGCCUGUCCUAUCGCCAUGGACUUGGCCCUUGGAGGCCUACGUCAGCCAAGUCAAGAUCAAUUGAGUGGUUUGCGUGGAAGCUGAGUCGCAGGCCAAUGUAGCAAAAGUCCACAAAAACAUACAAAGAAUGGUCUACAUUGUGACUUUUCCAGUUUCGCAUUGGCCUUGUGUGAAUAUAAAACAAUGACCGGCACCGAAACUCACCGUCUAAGGGAGUUGAAAGCAGACCCAGUCUCCAUUAUCAAAGCCAAAUAAGCCUCCAAGUCCUCGCAUCUAUGCCCUCUCAUACCCUUUUUUUCCUAUAAAUAACACUGCCCUCAAACACAUUUUCAUCCAUCCCCUUUUCAGCAGAUACUUUUCUUGUAAUUAACUGCUUUCCAACCAUCAGCUCCUACACGUUUUAGAAAGAAAGAUGGCUAGGCUCAUGUCCAUGGCUGUUAUAGUUGUUGUUCUGGCAGCUAUGCUGCAUUAUUCAGCAGCCCAGACGGUGCAUGUGGUGGGAGACAACACUGGGUGGACGGUACCACAAGGUGGAGCAGCCACAUACACCUCCUGGGCUUCUGGUAGGCAGUUCGUUGUUGGUGAUACUCUAGGUAAUAAGCUCUAUGCCCUUUCCUUUCUUCUUUUUCAUUUUCAUGUACUUUUCCUAAGAACUUCAAAUAUACGCACUCUUAUUUAAAAUUUGUUUUGGCCAAAAUGAGAUUAAAUCAGUCUUUCAUAAGUACUGUUUGGAUUUUGGGAAAUGAAUUAACUACUUAUCUGUGUUUUUCAGUUUUCAAUUUCGCCACCAACGUUCAUGACGUAGCAGAACUAUCAAAAGAAUCAUUUGAUGCAUGCGACUUUUCCAGUACCAUCGGAAACAUUAUCACAACUGGUCCAGCCAACAUCACUCUCGCCACCGCGGGCAACCACUACUACGUCUGCACCAUUGGCAGCCACUGCACCUCCGGCCAGAAGCUAGCCAUCUCAGUAUCAGCCACUCCCGGCGCCUCCCCUCCUUCUUCAUCUACUGCACCCCCACCACCAACCACCACCAACACACCUCCAUCAACACCAUCUCCAACUGCUGAAGUUUGCCCUCCAACCACAGCACCGAGUCCUAAGAUGAACACUCCCUCUCCUACAACUGCAACUCCACCAUCCUCACAGGGCGGUGAUUCUUCAUCAUCAACUGUUUUUG